This 159-nucleotide small nucleolar RNA is filed under the name Symbiodinium microadriaticum. RNAcentral describes it as "ACEA small nucleolar RNA U3". It matches the Rfam family "ACEA small nucleolar RNA U3". Rfam says of the family: Small nucleolar RNAs (snoRNAs) are involved in the processing and modification of rRNA in the nucleolus. There are two main classes of snoRNAs: the box C/D class, and the box H/ACA class. U3 snoRNA is a member of the box C/D class. Lineage: Eukaryota; Dinophyceae; Suessiales; Symbiodiniaceae. The record is from Rfam by way of RNAcentral.
UGGACUGUACUUGCACAGGAUCACUUCUACAGUGAUUCCUCUUGCAUACACAACAGUCAUCAGAACACCAAACAAUCUUUGAUGAUGAAGAUUGAUCCUCUCACAAGGACAUGCUUCACUGCUUGAUGAAAGAGUUGAGAAGAUCAUCUCUGAAAGGAU